AGAACGCUGNCGGCGUGCCUAACACAUGCAAGUCGAGCGGAGAUACGAAGUAGUUUACUACAGAAAUAUCUUAGCGGCGGACGGGUGAGUAACACGUGGGCAACCUGCCUUGGAGUGGGGGAUAACACCGGGAAAUCGGUGCUAAUACCGCAUAACAUACACACAUCACAUGGUGAGUGUAUCAAAGGAGAAAUCCGCUUUGAGAUGGGCCCGCGGCUGAUUAGCUAGUUGGUAAGGUAACGGCUUACCAAGGCGACGAUCAGUAGCCGACCUGAGAGGGUGACCGGCCACACUGGAACUGAGACACGGUCCAGACUCCUACGGGAGGCAGCAGUGGGGAAUAUUGCGCAAUGGGGGAAACCCUGACGCAGCAACGCCGCGUGGAGGAAGAAGGUUUUCGGAUUGUAAACUCCUGUCUUCUGGGACGAUAAUGACGGUACCAGAGGAGGAAGCCACGGCUAACUACGUGCCAGCAGCCGCGGUAAUACGUAGGUGGCGAGCGUUGUCCGGAAUUACUGGGCGUAAAGGGCGCGUAGGCGGCUCUUUAAGUCAGAUGUGAAAACCCGAGGCUUAACUUCGGGAGUGCAUUUGAAACUGGAGAGCUUGAGUGCAGGAGAGGUAAGUGGAAUUCCUAGUGUAGCGGUGAAAUGCGUAGAUAUUAGGAGGAACACCAGUGGCGAAGGCGACUUACUGGACUGUAACUGACGCUGAGGCGCGAAAGCGUGGGGAGCAAACAGGAUUAGAUACCCUGGUAGUCCACGCUGUAAACGAUGGAUACUAGGUGUGGGAGGUAUCGACCCCUUCCGUGCCGCAGUUAACGCAAUAAGUAUCCCGCCUGGGGAGUACGGCCGCAAGGUUGAAACUCAAAGGAAUUGACGGGUCCCCGCACAAGCAGCGGAGCGUGUGGUUUAAUUCGUUGCUACACGAAGAACCUUACCAGGGUUUGACAUACAGGUGGUAGUGAAGCGAAAGCAGAACGACCCUUCGGGGAGCCUGUACAGGUGUNNCAUGGCUGUCGUCAGCUCGUGUCGUGAGAUGUUCGGUUAAGUCCGCUAACGAGCGCAACCCUCGCUGUGUGUUACAUGUGUCACACGGGACUGCCGGUGUCAAGCCGGAGGAAGGUGGGGAUGACGUCAAGUCAGCAUGACCUUUAUAUCCUGGGCUACACACACGCUACAAUGGUCGGCACAAUGGGUCGCUAAGCCGCGAGGUAGAGCCAAUCCUCAAAGUCGGCCUCAGUUCAGAUCGCAGGCUGCAACUCGCCUGCGUGAAGCCGGAGUCGCUAGUAACCGCAGGUCAGCUAUACUGCGGUGAAUACGUUCCCGGGGGUUGUACACACCGCCCGUCACGUCAUGGGAGCUGGCAACACCUGAAGCCGGUAUCCUAACCGCAAGGAGGGAGCCGUCGAGGGGGGGUUGGGACGGGCNCAA
Molecule: ribosomal RNA, 1430 nt
Filed under: uncultured bacterium
Lineage: Bacteria
Description: bacterial SSU rRNA
Rfam family: Bacterial small subunit ribosomal RNA
Source: RNAcentral